RNAcentral lists this ribosomal RNA (635 nucleotides) under uncultured Acaulospora. RNAcentral's name for it is "SSU rRNA". It matches the Rfam family "Eukaryotic small subunit ribosomal RNA", at positions 371 to 1013 of the family's 1831-position model. The record is from RNAcentral. Lineage: Eukaryota; Fungi; Glomeromycota; Glomeromycetes; Diversisporales; Acaulosporaceae.
UAGGGUUCGAUUCCGGAGAGGGAGCCUGAGAACGGCUACCACAUCCAAGGAAGGCAGCAGGCGCGCAAAUUACCCAAUCCCAAUACGGGGAGGUAGUGACAAUAAAUAACAAUAUGGGGCUCUUACGGGUCUCGUAAUUGGAAUGAGUACAAUUUAAAUCUCUUAACGAGGAACAAUUGGAGGGCAAGUCUGGUGCCAGCAGCCGCGGUAAUUCCAGCUCCAAUAGCGUAUAUUAAAGUUGUUGCAGUUAAAAAGCUCGUAGUUGAAUUUCGGAAUUUGUCGGUUGGUCGGGCUUCACUGUCCGCACUGGCCUGAUAGAUUCCUACCUUCUGAAUAACCAGCAUGCUAUUAAGUUAGUGCGUUGGGGAAGCAGAGCUAUUACCUUGAAAAAAUUAGAGUGCUUAAAGCAGGCUUACGCUUGAAUAGAUUAGCAUGGAAUAAUAAAAUAGGACGGCAUGGUUCUAUUUUGUUGGUUUCUAGGAUCACCGUAGUGAUUAAUAGGGAUAGUUGGGGGCAUUAGUAUUCAAUUGUCAGAGUGAAAUUCUUGGAUUUAUUGAAGACUAACUUCUGCGAAAGCAUUUGCCAAGGAUGUUUUCAUUAAUCAGGACGAAGUUAGGGGUCGAAGACGAUCAGAU